UACGGGGGGGAGCAAGCGUUUGUUCGGAUUUACUGGGCGUAAAGGGCGCGUAGGCGGUCGUGACAAGUCACUUGUGAAAUCUCCGGGCUUAACUCGGAACGGUCAAGUGAUACUGUCGGACUAGAGUACAGAAGGGGCAACUGGAAUUCUCGGUGUAGCGGUGAAAUGCGUAGAUAUCGAGAGGAACACCUGCGGCGAAGGCGGGUUGCUGGGCUGAUACUGACGCUGAGGAGCGAAAGCGUGGGGAGCGAACAGG
This 256-nucleotide ribosomal RNA is filed under the name uncultured bacterium. RNAcentral's name for it is "partial 16S ribosomal RNA". It matches the Rfam family "Bacterial small subunit ribosomal RNA", at positions 524 to 776 of the family's 1533-position model. The record is from RNAcentral.